Molecule: ribosomal RNA, 508 nt
Filed under: uncultured bacterium
Lineage: Bacteria
Description: partial 16S ribosomal RNA
Rfam family: Bacterial small subunit ribosomal RNA
Source: RNAcentral
GAUGAACGCUAGCUACAGGCUUAACACAUGCAAGUCGAGGGGAAACGACAUCGAAAGCUUGCUUUUGAUGGGCGUCGACCGGCGCACGGGUGAGUAACGCGUAUCCAACCUGCCCACCACUUGGGGAUAACCUUGCGAAAGUAAGACUAAUACCCAAUGAUAUCUCUAGAAGACAUCUGAAGGAGAUUAAAGAUUUAUCGGUGAUGGAUGGGGAUGCGUCUGAUUAGCUUGUUGGCGGGGUAACGGCCCACCAAGGCGACGAUCAGUAGGGGUUCUUGGAGGAAGGUCCCCCACAUUGGACCUGAGACACGGUCCAAACUCCUACGGGAGGCAGCAGUGAGGAAUAUUGGUCAAUGGGCGAGAGCUUGAACCAGCCAAGUAGCGUGCAGGAUGACGGCCCUAUGGGUUGUAAACUGCUUUUAUAAGGGAAUAAAGUGAGCCUCGUGAGGCUUUUUGCAUGUACCUUAUGAAUAAGGACCGGCUAAUUCCGUGCCAGCCGCCGCGGUAA